AAUUACAAUGACGCUGUUGUUGAAGUUUUGCUUGGAAAAUGAAAUGCAACUUUGCGUUUUUUUUUGUUUUUGUUUUUUUGUUUGUUUUUUUGUUUGAAACAAAGGGAAAAAAAAAAAGAAAAAAAAAGAAAAA
This 133-nucleotide non-coding RNA is filed under the name Paramoeba aestuarina. Lineage: Eukaryota; Discosea; Flabellinia; Dactylopodida; Paramoebidae. The record is from RNAcentral.